Molecule: ribosomal RNA, 484 nt
Filed under: uncultured bacterium
Lineage: Bacteria
Description: partial 16S ribosomal RNA
Rfam family: Bacterial small subunit ribosomal RNA
Source: RNAcentral
AUUGAACGCUGGCGGCAGGCCUAACACAUGCAAGUCGAGCGGAUGAAGGGAGCUUGCUCCUGGAUUCAGCGGCGGACGGGUGAGUAAUGCCUAGGAAUCUGCCUGGUAGUGGGGGAUAACGUCCGGAAACGGGCGCUAAUACCGCAUACGUCCUGAGGGAGAAAGUGGGGGAUCUUCGGACCUCACGCUAUCAGAUGAGCCUAGGUCGGAUUAGCUAGUUGGUGGGGUAAAGGCCUACCAAGGCGACGAUCCGUAACUGGUCUGAGAGGAUGAUCAGUCACACUGGAACUGAGACACGGUCCAGACUCCCACGGGAGGCAGCAGUGGGGAAUAUUGGGCAAUGGGCGAAAGCCUGAUCCAGCCAUGCCGCGUGUGUGAAGAAGGUCUUCGGAUUGUAAAGCACUUUAAGUUGGGAGGAAGGGCAGUAAGUUAAUACCUUGCUGUUUUGACGUUACCAACAGAAUAAGCACCGGCUAACUUCGUG